GCAAGAUAAACAAGAAUAUCAAAAGUGGAGAGUUAUGUAAUUUCUACCGAGGUCAUGGUGAAAUUUAGCUCCUUCCUGCUGUGCUUCAGGACUCUUGCUUCAAAGUCUCCCUAGGAAGGACGAUCUUAGAGGAUACAGAUCAUCCAUAUGCCUAUAAAAGGACAGGAUUAUGUAAUGUUCACUUCAUGUUGCAGAACAGACUCCUCCCUCCUCUAAUUUUACAAGUAAAAGGGAAGAAAAAUUGAAGAAGAAAAUAUCAAUGACAAAAGAUGACAACAUAGUGAAAGAAACCACCAAGAAAGUAUCCUGCAACUGAGUACAAAGAGAGACUGUCGGCACGCAUUGUUCCAGAUGACUCCGGUGACUCACUGGUCCAUGGCCUCUGUCCAGCUAAACUGCUAAUCUCCAAGUUGGCAAGCCCUCACUUUUGUCUUAUUUUUGAAAGGCUUUAUAGAAAUGGCGGUUGCCAUACAUAUAUAUUGUAAGAGAGAGCAAGCAUAGAGGGAAAGGAUAUGAGGAAAAGCAAGAGGAAGAAGAAGAGGGCAAGAAGAGAGAGACUUAGAUUAGGCCACCACCACCAUUCUACACCUAGAUUACCAUAAUGGCUUGUGUUUGCUUCACUUCCAUAUUCACAAACUUAAUCCACAUACGACUGGCAGAUUGAUCUUUCUCAUGUUAUUUUAAUCAUUGUAUUACUAUCAAAAUCUACAACAUAUCCUAACAUUAAAGGAGUAGGGCAUCUUGUGUAAUCUCUACUUGACAUUAGAUAUCAGGGUUAAAUAGAAACAUAUACACAAUCUUAUUUCAUUUUAUUUUCUAUAUUUUCUCUCUCUCUCUCUCUCUCUCUCUCUCUGUGUGUGUGUGUGUGUGUGUGUGUGUGUGUGUUACUGGAGAUUCAGCCGAGAGAUUUGUACCUACCAGGCACUCAUUUCCUUUUGUGUGUCUCUUCUUCUCUUUGUCACUACAGAUACUCCCAUGAUUCCUGCUCAUACUCUACACUACCCAUCUCUUCAGGUCCUAUUUUUAUGGUUCUUCAGUCUACCAAAGUAGUCUUCAUUCUUAAAGUAACUUUGCUACUAAUUUAUAUAUACCUUUAAACUCUUCUUUCUUUUGCCCUCUCUUACUUUCCUUCUCUAGUUGAAUAGCAAAUGCCUCAAAAUUGCAACUCCAACUGAAACAGAUAAAAUGUCUUACUCUCCUGUUUGUUUGUUUGUUUGUUUGUUUUUAGACCUUGGAUGCGUGUUUCCACCGUGUUGCCUUUGAAAUGGCAGGUCACAGAUUUGUUUAACAUUUAGAAAGCUAACACUUGUAUGUAGAAUAGUGAUAAUAGGACUUAAUUAAUACUCAAGAUAUCCUUUGCAGGUUUCCUUUCUCUCUCCAAAAGAAGUUUUGAAAGAGGCACAUGGAUGGACAUAUGCAAGGUGACUGCAUAGGAAUCUUGAGUAACCUUGAACACAAUAUAGAGGGAUAAUGGGCCCAGAAACAAGUUAUUGGUUUACAUAGCA
This 1505-nucleotide long non-coding RNA is filed under the name Mus musculus (house mouse). RNAcentral describes it as "predicted gene, 48913". The record is from RNAcentral. Lineage: Eukaryota; Metazoa; Chordata; Mammalia; Rodentia; Muridae.